UACAGGGGGGGCAAGCGUUGUUCGGAAUUACUGGGCGUAAAGGGCUCGUAGGCGGCCAACUAAGUCAGACGUGAAAUCCCUCGGCUUAACCGGGGAACUGCGUCUGAUACUGGAUGGCUUGAGGUUGGGAGAGGGAUGCGGAAUUCCAGGUGUAGCGGUGAAAUGCGUAGAUAUCUGGAGGAACACCGGUGGCGAAGGCGGGUCUCUGGACAGUUCCUGACGCUGAGGCACGAAGGUCAGGGGAGCAAACGGG
Molecule: ribosomal RNA, 253 nt
Filed under: uncultured bacterium
Lineage: Bacteria
Description: partial 16S ribosomal RNA
Rfam family: Bacterial small subunit ribosomal RNA
Source: RNAcentral